This 475-nucleotide ribosomal RNA is filed under the name uncultured bacterium. RNAcentral's name for it is "bacterial SSU rRNA". It matches the Rfam family "Bacterial small subunit ribosomal RNA", at positions 26 to 518 of the family's 1533-position model. The record is from RNAcentral.
AGGACGAACGCUGGCGGCGUGCCUAACACAUGCAAGUCGAGCGAGGAGAUUCCUCGGGAUGAUCCUAGCGGCGGACGGGUGAGUAACACGUGGGCAACCUGCCUCAUAGAGAGGAAUAGCCUUCCGAAAGGGAGAUUAAUACCUCAUAACAUUGCAGUUUCGCAUGGAACAGCAAUUAAAGGAGCAAUCCGCUAUGAGAUGGGCCCGCGGCGCAUUAGCUAGUUGGUGAGGUAACGGCUCACCAAGGCGACGAUGCGUAGCCGACCUGAGAGGGUGAUCGGCCACAUUGGGACUGAGACACGGCCCAGACUCCUACGGGAGGCAGCAGUGGGGAAUAUUGCACAAUGGGGGAAACCCUGAUGCAAGCAACGCCGCGUGAGUGAUGACGGCCUUCGGGUUGUAAAGCUCUGUCUUCAGGGACGAUAAUGACGGUACCUGAGGAGGAAGCCACGGCUAACUACGUGCCAGCAGCCGC